This 484-nucleotide ribosomal RNA is filed under the name uncultured bacterium. RNAcentral's name for it is "partial 16S ribosomal RNA". It matches the Rfam family "Bacterial small subunit ribosomal RNA", at positions 30 to 507 of the family's 1533-position model. The record is from RNAcentral.
AUUGAACGCUGGCGGAAUGCUUUACACAUGCAAGUCGAGCGGCAGCACGGGGGCAACCCUGGUGGCGAGCGGCGAACGGGUGAGUAAUACAUCGGAACAUGCCCAGUCGUGGGGGAUAACACUUCGAAAGAAGUGCUAAUACCGCAUACGUCCUGAGGGGGAAAGCGGGGGAUCGCAAGACCUCGCGCGAUUGGAGUGGCCGAUGUCAGAUUAGCUAGUUGGUGGGGUAAAGGCCUACCAAGGCAACGAUCUGUAGCUGGUCUGAGAGGAUGAUCAGCCACACUGGGACUGAGACACGGCCCAGACUCCUACGGGAGGCAGCAGUGGGGAAUUUUGGAAAAUGGGGGAAACCCUGAUCCAGCCAUUCCGCGUGAGUGAAGAAGGCCUUCGGGUUGUAAAGCUCUUUCGGCAGGAACGAAACGGUGAGCUCUAAAAUAGCUUGCUAAUGACGGUACCUGAAGAAGAAGCACCGGCUAACUACGUG